UAGGGAAUCUUCGGCAAUGGACGAAAGUCUGACCGAGCAACGCCGCGUGAGUGAAGAAGGUUUUCGGAUCGUAAAACUCUGUUGUUAGAGAAGAACAAGGACGUUAGUAACUGAACGUCCCCUGACGGUAUCUAACCAGAAAGCCACGGCUAACUACGUGCCAGCAGCCGCGGUAAUACGUAGGUGGCAAGCGUUGUCCGGAUUUAUUGGGCGUAAAGCGAGCGCAGGCGGUUUCUUAAGUCUGAUGUGAAAGCCCCCGGCUCAACCGGGGAGGGUCAUUGGAAACUGGGAGACUUGAGUGCAGAAGAGGAGAGUGGAAUUCCAUGUGUAGCGGUGAUAUGCGUAGAUAUAUGGAGGAACACCAGUGGCGAAGGCGGCUCUCUGGUCUGUAACUGACGCUGAGGCUCGAAAGCGUGGGGAGCAAACAGG
This 429-nucleotide ribosomal RNA is filed under the name Gemmatimonadota bacterium. RNAcentral describes it as "Gemmatimonadetes bacterium partial 16S ribosomal RNA". It matches the Rfam family "Bacterial small subunit ribosomal RNA", at positions 355 to 776 of the family's 1533-position model. The record is from RNAcentral. Lineage: Bacteria; Pseudomonadati; Gemmatimonadota.